Molecule: ribosomal RNA, 515 nt
Filed under: uncultured bacterium
Lineage: Bacteria
Description: bacterial SSU rRNA
Rfam family: Bacterial small subunit ribosomal RNA
Source: RNAcentral
CUACGUGCCAGCAGCCGCGGUAAUACGGAGGGUGCGAGCGUUAAUCGGAAUAACUGGGCGUAAAGGGCACGCAGGCGGCUAUUUAAGUGAGGUGUGAAAUCCCCGGGCUUAACCUGGGAAUUGCAUUUCAGACUGGGUAGCUAGAGUACUUUAGGGAGGGGUAGAAUUCCACGUGUAGCGGUGAAAUGCGUAGAGAUGUGGAGGAAUACCGAAGGCGAAGGCAGCCCCUUGGGAAUGUACUGACGCUCAUGUGCGAAAGCGUGGGGAGCAAACAGGAUUAGAUACCCUGGUAGUCCACGCUGUAAACGCUGUCGAUUUGGGGAUUGGGCUUUAAGCUUGGUGCCCGUAGCUAACGUGAUAAAUCGACCGCCUGGGGAGUACGGCCGCAAGGUUAAAACUCAAAUGAAUUGACGGGGGCCCGCACAAGCGGUGGAGCAUGUGGUUUAAUUCGAUGCAACGCGAAGAACCUUACCUACUCUUGACAUCCAUGGAAUUCUGUAGAGAUACGGGAGUGC